GCGAUUGGAUGAGCCCAUGUCGGAUUAGCUAGUUGGCGGGGUAAAGGCCCACCAAGGCGACGAUCCGUAGCUGGUCUGAGAGGAUGAUCAGCCACACUGGGACUGAGACACGGCCCAGACUCCUACGGGAGGCAGCAGUGGGGAAUAUUGGACAAUGGGCGAAAGCCUGAUCCAGCCAUGCCGCGUGUGUGAAGAAGGUCUUCGGAUUGUAAAGCACUUUAAGUUGGGAGGAAGGGCAGUAAGUUAAUACCUUGCUGUUUUGACGUUACCGCCAGAAUAAGC
This 282-nucleotide ribosomal RNA is filed under the name Skeletonema menzelii. RNAcentral describes it as "partial Bacterial small subunit ribosomal RNA". It matches the Rfam family "Bacterial small subunit ribosomal RNA", at positions 217 to 491 of the family's 1533-position model. Lineage: Eukaryota; Bacillariophyta; Thalassiosirophyceae; Thalassiosirales; Thalassiosiraceae. The record is from RNAcentral.